GUGUAGCGGUGAAAUGCGUAGAGAUGUGGAGGAAUACCGAUGCCGAAGGCAGCCAUCUGGCCUAAUACUGACGCUGAGGUACGAAAGCAUGGGGAGCAAACAGGAUUAGAUACCUUGGUAGUCCAUGCCGUAAACGAUGUCUACUAGCCGUUGGGUCCUUUGAGGCUUUAGUGGCGCAGCUAACGCGAUAAGUAGACCGCGUGGGGAGUACGGUCGCAAGACUAAAACUCAAAUGAAUUGACGGGGGCCCGCACAAGCGGUGGAGCAUGUGGUUUAAUUCGAUGCAACGCGAAGAACCUUACCUGGCCUUGACAUACUAGAAACUUUCCAGAGAUGGAUUGGUGCCUUCGGGAAUCUAGAUACAGGUGCUGCAUGGUUGUCGUCAGCUCGUGUCGUGAGAUGUUGGGUUAAGUCCCGCAACGAGCGCAACCCUUUUCCUUACUUGCCAGCAUUUCGGAUGGGAACUUUAAGGAUACUGCCAGUGACAAACUGGAGGAAGGCGGGGACGACGUCAAGUCAUCAUGGCCCUUACGGCCAGGGCUACACACGUGCCACAAUGGUCGGUACAAAGGGUUGCUACCUAGCGAUAGGAUGCUAAUCUCAAAAAGCCGAUCGUAGUCCGGAUUGGAGUCUGCAACUCGACUCCAUGAAGUUGGAAUCGCUAGUAAUCGCGGAUCAGAAUGCCGCGGUGAAUACGUUCCCGGGCCUUGUACACACCGCCCGUCACACCAUGGGAGUUUGUUGCACCAGAAGUAGGUAGUCUAACCGCAAGGAGGACGCUUACCACGGUGUGGCCGAUGACUGGGGUGAAGUCGUAACAAGGUAGCCGUAGGGGAACCUGCGGCUGGAUCACCU
This 855-nucleotide ribosomal RNA is filed under the name uncultured bacterium. RNAcentral describes it as "bacterial SSU rRNA". It matches the Rfam family "Bacterial small subunit ribosomal RNA", at positions 673 to 1528 of the family's 1533-position model. The record is from RNAcentral.